CAAUAGCGUAUAUUAAAGUUGUUGCAGUUAAAAAGCUCGUAGUUGGAUUUCGGGGCAGCCUGGCUGGUCCGCCGCAAGGUGAGUACUGGUCAGCCGCCCUUCCUCUCGAAAGCCCCGACUGCUCUUUAUUGCAGUGGUCGGGUAGUUCGGGACGUUUACUUUGAAAAAAUUAGAGUGUUCAAGGCAGGCCUACGCCUGAAUACAUUAGCAUGGAAUAAUGGAAGAGGACCUCGGUCCUAUUUUGUUGGUUUCCAGGACCGAAGUAAUGAUUAAGAGGGACAGUUGGGGGCAUUCGUAUUUAAUUGUCAGAGGUGAAAUUCUCGGAUUUAUGAAAGACGAACAACUGCGAAAGCAUUUGCCAAGGAUGUUUUCAUUAA
Molecule: ribosomal RNA, 377 nt
Filed under: uncultured eukaryote
Lineage: Eukaryota
Description: partial 18S ribosomal RNA
Rfam family: Eukaryotic small subunit ribosomal RNA
Source: RNAcentral